GUCUUGCCUGCCAAUUAAUUACAGAGUUCGUGGGAAGUGUUUACAAAUUAGUCAACUGAAAAGCUAAAUACAGCAGAGCAGUCGUUCUGAUGAGGCAGGAAAUAAAAAUGCCCCUAGGUAUUUCAUGAGUCUGUUCUUGUGUCCACAAGCACAGAUUGAAGAGAACACACUAAAACUCCACUGGCAAUUUUCCAGGAUGCCAAAAUGGUGUUUCCUACAUGUAGCCUGUAGGAUUUACAAAUUCUCAAAAUAUGAGACUCUUAAUGGCAACAGCAGAUCAGUCCUUCUUUUACAAGUUACAAAUGCUUUUUAAGAGCCUCUUUCCUAACAGUCCCUUGACUUCAUAACUGCUGUAAUUAAUGCUGGCAGGAGCUGUGCUCCCUAAUUUUUCAUGGCUGCCCCUAAACAUCUGGCUGAAACGACUGAGACUGUUCAUCCAGUUUCUAACCUUAAAUAUAAACAUACUACUCUAUCACUACUUGCUUUUGUGCAGAUGUUUUAUCCUGAUUUUUAUUUCAGAAAAGACAUAAUUAUAUUGCAGAUAUAUUAUAUUAUAUAUAUUAUAUUGCAGAUUCAGUGCCACGAGAUGUUGGAAUUAUAAAGGGAUAAAUGAGAAAAUGUGGAAAUGAAAAUAUAUUACCUCAAAACCCAAUUAGGAAUUCCAUCAAAGGCUAUUAAAAUUCAUAUAUAACUUUCUGCACUUCGGAUUGAGAGUGUAAAGUAGAAAAAAAUAUAACUCUGCACUUUUUAGUCUCUAUAUUAUUGCCAAAUAAGCAUAAGCAUCCAAUACUGACUACUAGCAAAGAAAAGGCACUGGAACAGAGAUACCUCCUGGGCUGUCCAUAAACAAUGCUUUCCAUGUAAAUAUAAAUCCAGCUAAAACUCUUGUACUAGUCACAGAUUCUUUCCCACUUUAUUGUUUUACACUUUAUCUAAAUUGCCAAAAGAAACCUUUUCACUCUAAAUAUUGAAUUAGGCUGAAGAUCUUCAGUCCUGCUAAAUUUUGUGGCAUCUUAUUUUAUAAAAUGGCAUUUUAUGACAUUUUAUUAUAUAAAAAAUUAAGGAUAGAAGUGAUAAAACACUUCUUUUGCUUUGUUUUGCUUUCUUUCAAGGAAUUCUUGAAAAGGGUUCUUGAUAUUAAAUAAGAGCAGUCAAAAACCUGUCCAUGAUGAAACCAUUCAUAAAUGAGGCCAUAAAUAGCAAUCUUUUCAUGAGCCUUGUCCACAUGAAAGAAGUUUCCCUUUGGACUAAUUAACUUUUUCAAUAACUGUACAGAAGACAGAAGGUGGCUUGACAGCACCUGACAUGACAGUAACAAUAAGACAAAUGUUGCUUCUGAAGCAUGCACUCUAAAGGCAUUGCCAUGGGAACAUUUAUCCUUUUACCCCUUUUUGUGCUGAGGUUCAUUGCUUCAAACAUGCCCAGACCCACGAGGCUGUUGGCCUGAAUAUUUUAAUAGCUGAUGAGGGAGGGACUGAGGGAGGAGGAGAGACAAGAUGCUUGGGUAGCCUGGAGCAAUAUCUUUAUGAAUAUCCCCUUAUGUGGACUGUGUCUCCUCCUGACCGAAUCAGGAUUUCAGUGCUACCCCUAAACUAUGACAA
Molecule: long non-coding RNA, 1601 nt
Organism: Cyanistes caeruleus (blue tit)
Lineage: Eukaryota; Metazoa; Chordata; Aves; Passeriformes; Paridae
Source: Ensembl